UAGGACGAACGCUGGCGGCGUGCCUAACACAUGCAAGUCGAACGGAGUCAAGAAGCUUGCUUUUGACUUAGUGGCGGACGGGUGAGUAACGCGUGAGUAACCUGCCUCUGAGAGGGGAAUAACGUUCUGAAAAGAACGCUAAUACCGCAUAAUGUAUCGAAGCCGCAUGACUUUGACACCAAAGAUUUUAUCGCUCGGAGAUGGACUCGCGUCCGAUUAGUUAGUUGGUGAGGUAACGGCUCACCAAGACCGCGAUCGGUAGCCGGACUGAGAGGUUGAUCGGCCACAUUGGGACUGAGACACGGCCCAGACUCCUACGGGAGGCAGCAGUGGGGGAUAUUGCGCAAUGGGGGCAACCCUGACGCAAGCAACGCCGCGUGAAGGAUGAAGGUUUUCGGAUUGUAAACUUCUUUUAUCAGGGACGAGGCUUGACGGUACCUGAUGAAUAAGCUCCGGCUAACUACGUGCCAGCAGCUGC
RNAcentral lists this ribosomal RNA (478 nucleotides) under uncultured bacterium. RNAcentral describes it as "bacterial SSU rRNA". It matches the Rfam family "Bacterial small subunit ribosomal RNA", at positions 26 to 518 of the family's 1533-position model. The record is from RNAcentral.